RNAcentral lists this ribosomal RNA (494 nucleotides) under uncultured bacterium. Its description in RNAcentral is "partial 16S ribosomal RNA". It matches the Rfam family "Bacterial small subunit ribosomal RNA", at positions 28 to 507 of the family's 1533-position model. The record is from RNAcentral.
GACGAACGCUGGCGGCGUGCCUAAUACAUGCAAGUAGAACGCUGAAGGAGGAGCUUGCUUCUCUGGAUGAGUUGCGAACGGGUGAGUAACGCGUAGGUAACCUGCCUGGUAGCGGGGGAUAACUAUUGGAAACGAUAGCUAAUACCGCAUAAGAGUAGAUGUCGCAUGACAUUUGCUUAAAAGGUGCAAUUGCAUCACUACCAGAUGGACCUGCGUUGUAUUAGCUAGUUGGUGAGGUAACGGCUCACCAAGGCAACGAUACAUAGCCGACCUGAGAGGGGGAUGGACCACCCUGGAACUGGACCACGCCCAGACUCCUACGGGAGGCAGCAGUAGGGAAUCUUCGGCAAUGGACGGAAGUCUGACCGAGCAACGCCGCGUGAGUGAAGAAGGUUUUCGGAUCGUAAAGCUCUGUUGUAAGAGAAGAACGAGUGUGAGAGUGGAAAGUUCACACUGUGACGGUAUCUUACCAGAAAGGGACGGCUAACUACGUG